This is a long non-coding RNA of Apis dorsata (giant honeybee), 581 nucleotides long. RefSeq lists it as uncharacterized. Lineage: Eukaryota; Metazoa; Arthropoda; Insecta; Hymenoptera; Apidae. The transcript has 2 exons. The record is from RefSeq and is a predicted model, not a curated record.
CAGGCCUCCUGUACAGGGCUCCGACGGAAGAACAGCGUUAAAGAUCGAAACAGAUUGGCCGAUCGGAAGGAAGAAGAAGCGACGAGGAUGGAAAGUCGGUCGUUCGGUCAGAAAGCGACAGUGUGUCAAAGUUCUUCCCACCAGAGACGCGGAAGCUCGUGAACGGCGCGAUAUUCCACGUCGGGUUGGACGCCAUUAAGCACAGGUGCGCUACCACCGAAUUACAAGAUAACGUUUAAAAAUCGAUAAAACUACCUUGGCGUUCCUCUCCAAAGAAACUGACUUGGUGAACUAACUUGUGUAAUCGUCGAAGAAGACAUCUUUCCCUCGUUCCAGACUGACUGUGGCAAGUUUAAAUGGUUACGUGUUCUAGCUGGAGGAGGAGAGGGGGAGAGGGGAGGGGAGGAGGAGGAAAAGGAUCAAAGUGUUGGAAAAGUAAGAUGUGGGGGUCGGUUCGUCGAAUAAAAGAGAAAGAAGUUGUGGAUAAAAGCAACAUUUGGAAUUUGUCUUAAAGACGUAUUGCUACGUAACAAGCAAACCUGGUCAAACUUGGGAAAACUUUUUAGAAGUUAGAAGAGAUA